GAUGAACGCUGGCGGCGUGCCUAACACAUGCAAGUCGAGCGGUAUAUACUGGAACGAAACUUCGGUCUAGAGAAGGUAUAGAGAGCGGCGGACGGGUGAGUAACGCGUAGGCAACCUGCCCCAUACAGAGGGAUAGCCUCGGGAAACCGGGAUUAAAACCUCAUAAUACGAGAGCUUCACAUGUUGCACUCGUCAAAGAUUUAUCGGUAUGGGAUGGGCCUGCGUCUGAUUAGCUAGUUGGUGAGGUAACGGCUCACCAAGGCAACGAUCAGUAGCCGACCUGAGAGGGUAAUCGGCCACAUUGGAACUGAGACACGGUCCAAACUCCUACGGGAGGCAGCAGUGGGGAAUCUUGCACAAUGGGCGAAAGCCUGAUGCAGCAACGCCGCGUGAGCGAUGAAGGCCUUUGGGUCGUAAAGCUCUGUCCUUGGGGAAGAAAAAAAUGACGGUACCCUUGGAGAAAGCCCCGGCUAACUACGUACCAGCAGCCGCGGUGAAGUCGUACGA
RNAcentral lists this ribosomal RNA (507 nucleotides) under uncultured bacterium. RNAcentral's name for it is "bacterial SSU rRNA". It matches the Rfam family "Bacterial small subunit ribosomal RNA", at positions 28 to 532 of the family's 1533-position model. The record is from RNAcentral.